GACAUCACAGAAGGCUACCAGGUUGGUCAAGCAUGACUUCCCCUUGGUGAAUCCAUGUUAACUACUCCUGAUAACCUUCUUUUCUUCUACUUCUUGAAGAUGCCAUCCAGAAUAAGUUGUUCCAUUGGCUUCCUGGGACAGAGUUUGCAACAACUCUACUUGUAUUGAUCAACUUUGCUGGAGUUCAAAGAAGAGGCCACUGAAGAAACAAGGGCCAAGAUGCAGUCACUCAGUAUUACUGCUAGUUCCUGGUGAGCUCUGGCAAGCCACACAAUUAUUGCAAAAUUCAACUACAUACUUACAUGCACCA
This is a non-coding RNA of Phasianus colchicus (ring-necked pheasant), 310 nucleotides long. Lineage: Eukaryota; Metazoa; Chordata; Aves; Galliformes; Phasianidae. The record is from RefSeq and is a predicted model, not a curated record.